Molecule: ribosomal RNA, 601 nt
Filed under: uncultured Alphaproteobacteria bacterium
Lineage: Bacteria; Pseudomonadati; Pseudomonadota; Alphaproteobacteria
Description: partial 16S ribosomal RNA
Source: RNAcentral
GCAUCCAACGCGUUGGGGACUCUCCCAUAUGGUCGACCUGCAGGCGGCCGCGAAUUCACUAGUGAUUCGUAUUACCGCGGCUGCUGGCACGUAGUUAGCCGGUGCUUAUUCUUCCGGUACCGUCAGUAGUCAGCGAUAUUCACGCUAACCGUUUCGUUCCGGACAAAAGAGCUUUACAACCCGAAGGCCUUCUUCACUCACGCGGAAUGGCUGGAUCAGGGUUGCCCCCAUUGUCCAAAAUUCCCCACUGCUGCCUCCCGUAGGAGUUUGGGCCGUGUCUCAGUCCCAAUGUGGCUGAUCAUCCUCUCAGACCAGCUACUGAUCGUCGCCUUGGUGAGCCAUUACCUCACCAACUAGCUAAUCAGACGCGGGCCAAUCUUUCGGCGAUAAAUCUUUCCCCGUAAGGGCUUAUCCGGUAUUAGCACAAGUUUCCCUGUGUUGUUCCGAACCAAAAGGUAUGUUCCCACGCGUUACUCACCCGUCUGCCGCUGACGUAUUGCUACGCCCGCUCGACUUGCAUGGCGUAUUACCGCGGCUGCUGAGCCAGGAUCAAACUCUAAUCGAAUUCCCGCGGCCGCCAUGGCGGCCGGGAGCAUGCGAC